AGAGUUUGAUCAUGGCUCAGAAUGAACGCUGGCGGCGUGCUUAACACAUGCAAGUCGAGCGAGGCGGAAGGGGGCAACUCCUUUCCAGUCGAGCGGCGGACGGGUGAGUAACACGUGGGUAACCUGCCCGGAAGUGGGGAAUACCUCGGAGAAAUUCGAGCUAAUACCGCAUGACAUCUUCGGGACGAAAGUCCUGGCGAUCAAAGCGGGGUCGCAAGAUCUCGCGCUACCGGAUGGGCCCGCGCCCGAUUAGCUAGUUGGUGAGGUAACGGCUCACCAAGGCUUCGAUCGGUAACCGGCCUGAGAGGGCGAUCGGUCACACCGGAACUGAGACACGGUCCGGACUCCUACGGGAGGCAGCAGUGGGGAAUCUUGCGCAAUGGGCGAAAGCCUGACGCAGCAACGCCGCGUGGAGGAUGAAGGCCCUUGGGUUGUAAACUCCUGUCGGCUGGGAAGAAAUCGUUCGUGGCUCAUACCCACGGACGUUGACUGUACCAGCAAAGGAAGCCCCGGCUAACUCUGUGCCAGCAGCCGCGGUAAUACAGAGGGGGCUAGCGUUAUUCGGAAUUAUUGGGCGUAAAGGGCGCGUAGGCGGCCAUGCGUGUCUUCCGUGAAAUCCCUCGGCUUAACUGAGGACGUGCGGAAGAAACUGCAAGGCUCGAGUCCGGGAGAGGGGGGUGGAAUUCCCAGUGUAGCGGUGAAAUGCGUAGAUAUUGGGAGGAACACCGGUGGCGAAGGCGGCCCCCUGGACCGGUACUGACGCUGAGGCGCGAAAGCGUGGGUAGCAAACGGGAUUAGAUACCCCGGUAGUCCACGCCGUAAACGAUGGGCACUUGGUGUCGCGGGUAUCGACCCCUGCGGUGCCGAAGCUAACGCAUUAAGUGCCCCGCCUGGGGAGUACGGUCGCAAGGCUGAAACUCAAAGGAAUUGACGG
This 934-nucleotide ribosomal RNA is filed under the name uncultured bacterium. Its description in RNAcentral is "bacterial SSU rRNA". It matches the Rfam family "Bacterial small subunit ribosomal RNA", at positions 8 to 916 of the family's 1533-position model. The record is from RNAcentral.